Molecule: transfer RNA, 69 nt
Filed under: Rattus norvegicus (Norway rat)
Lineage: Eukaryota; Metazoa; Chordata; Mammalia; Rodentia; Muridae
Rfam family: tRNA
About the family: Transfer RNA (tRNA) molecules are approximately 80 nucleotides in length.
Source: Rfam by way of RNAcentral
GGGGAUUUAGCUCAAUGGUAGAGCACUUGCCUAGCAAGCGCAAGGCCCUGGGUUCGAUCCCCAGCUCUG